Molecule: ribosomal RNA, 328 nt
Filed under: uncultured bacterium
Lineage: Bacteria
Description: bacterial SSU rRNA
Rfam family: Bacterial small subunit ribosomal RNA
Source: RNAcentral
AGAGUUUGAUCAUGGCUCAGGAUGAACGCUGGCGGCGUGCCUAAUACAUGCAAGUCGAGCGAACCACUUCGGUGGUGAGCGGCGAACGGGUGAGUAACACGUAGGUGAUCUGCCCAUCAGACGGGGACAACGAUUGGAAACGAUCGCUAAUACCGGAUAGGACGAAAGUUUAAAGGUGCUUCUGGCACCGCUGAUGGAUGAGCCUGCGGCGCAUUAGCUAGUUGGUAGGGUAAAGGCCUACCAAGGCGACGAUGCGUAGCCGACCUGAGAGGGUGAACGGCCACACGUGGGACUGAGACACCGGCCCAGACUCAUACGGGAGGCAGCA